This 443-nucleotide ribosomal RNA is filed under the name uncultured bacterium. RNAcentral describes it as "partial 16S ribosomal RNA". It matches the Rfam family "Bacterial small subunit ribosomal RNA", at positions 338 to 795 of the family's 1533-position model. The record is from RNAcentral.
CCUACGGGGCGCAGCAGUGGGGAAUAUUGGGCAAUGGGCGCAAGCCUGACCCAGCAACGCCGCGUGAAGGAAGAAGGCUCUCGGGUUGUAAACUUCUUUUAUCAGGGACGAAGCAAGUGACGGUACCUGAUGAAUAAGCAACGGCUAACUACGUGCAAGCAGCCGCGGGAAUACGUAGGUGGCAAGCGUUAUCCGGAUUUACUGGGUGUAAAGGGCGUGUAGGCGGGAAAGCAAGUCAGAUUGGAAAACCAUGGGCUCAACCUGUGGCCUGCAUUUGAAACUGUUUUUCUUGAGUACUGGAGAGGCAGACGGAAUUCCUAGUGUAGCGGUGAAAUGCGUAGAUAUUAGGAGGAACACCAGUGGCGAAGGCGGUCUGCUGGACAGCAACUGACGCUGAGGCGCGAAAGCGUGGGGAGCAAACAGGAUUAGAUACCCGUGUAGUC